GCCUUCGUGGUGUAAUGGUCAGGACGCUCGGCGUAUAUUCGAGAAGUCCCAGGUUCGUGUCCCGGCGGGGGCA
This 73-nucleotide transfer RNA is filed under the name Stegodyphus mimosarum. It matches the Rfam family "tRNA". Rfam says of the family: Transfer RNA (tRNA) molecules are approximately 80 nucleotides in length. Their secondary structure includes four short double-helical elements and three loops (D, anti-codon, and T loops). Further hydrogen bonds mediate the characteristic L-shaped molecular structure. tRNAs have two regions of fundamental functional importance: the anti-codon, which is responsible for specific mRNA codon recognition, and the 3' end, to which the tRNAs corresponding amino acid is attached (by aminoacyl-tRNA synthetases). tRNAs cope with the degeneracy of the genetic code in two manners: having more than one tRNA (with a specific anti-codon) for a particular amino acid; and 'wobble' base-pairing, i.e. permitting non-standard base-pairing at the 3rd anti-codon position. Lineage: Eukaryota; Metazoa; Arthropoda; Arachnida; Araneae; Eresidae. The record is from Rfam by way of RNAcentral.